GACGAACGCUGGCGGCGUGCUUAACACAUGCCAGUCGAACGGAAAGGCCUGCUUUCCCUUGUGGAUUGCGGGUACUCGAGUGGCGAACGGGUGAGUAACACGUGAGUGAUCUGCCCCCAACUUGGGUAUAAGCCUGGGAAACUGGGUCUAAUUCCCGAUAGGACUGCAGGGUGGUGCCUGUGGUGGAAAACGAUUUUCUAGUGGUUGGGGGUGAGCUCGCGGCCUAUCAGCUUGUUGGUGGGGUAAUGGCCUACCAAGGCGGCGACGGGUAGCCGGCCUGAGAGGGUGGACGGCCACAUUGGGACUGAGAUACGGCCCAGACUCCUACGGGAGGCAGCAGUGGGGAAUAUUGCACAAUGGGCGGAAGCCUGAUGCAGCGACGCCGCGUGGGGGAUGACGGCCUUCGGGUUGUAAACUCCUUUCGACCGCGAGGAAGCCACCUGGUUGGAAGGGUGGUGACGGUAGUGGUAGAAGAAGCACCGGCUAACUACGUG
Molecule: ribosomal RNA, 494 nt
Filed under: uncultured bacterium
Lineage: Bacteria
Description: partial 16S ribosomal RNA
Rfam family: Bacterial small subunit ribosomal RNA
Source: RNAcentral